Molecule: ribosomal RNA, 460 nt
Filed under: uncultured bacterium
Lineage: Bacteria
Description: partial 16S ribosomal RNA
Rfam family: Bacterial small subunit ribosomal RNA
Source: RNAcentral
CCUACGGGGGGCUGCAGUGAGGAAUAUUGGUCAAUGGGCGGGAGCCUGAACCAGCCAAGUCGCGUGAGGGAAGACGGUCCUAUGGAUUGUAAACCUCUUUAGGCGGGGAGCAAUGCCGGGCACGUGUGCCCGGAGGGAGAGUACCCGCAGAAUAAGCAUCGGCAAACUCCGUGCCAGCAGCCGCGGUAAUACGGAGGAUGCGAGCGUUAUCCGGAUUUAUUGGGUUAAAAGGGUGCGUAGGCGGAUUUUUAAGUCAGCGGUAAAAUGUCCGGGCUCAACCCGGGCCGGCCGUUGAAACUGGGGAUCUUGAGUGGGCGAGAGGUAUGCGGAAUGCGUGGUGUAGCGGUGAAAUGCGUAGAUAUCACGAGGAACUCCGGUGGCGAAGGCAGCAUACCGGAGCCCGACUGACGCUGAGGCUCGAAAGCGUGGGGAUCGAACAGGAUUAGAUACCCCUGUAGUC